CAAUUGGUUGCCACCUGGGAUGGAACCCACAACCUAGUGCCCUCUUCUUCCCUCGGCACCUCCCACAACCACAAGCCUGAGGCUCUGAGUCAACAUGGAAUUCACAAGCAUUUUUGAGCUACUUCUACUGUAAUGCCAAGCAACGUGCGUGUAUGUAUGCAGUAGCUCUUCACCAGGGACAUGCAUGGCCAGUCCUGUGAGCAAAGGACACAAGGAUAUUAGGUAGAUCCUACAGUCCACCACAGUCCUCAGCAGUCCCCAGGAUUUCUGCUGGAACUAUGUUCUCUGAGAUACCUCUGCCAUUUGGCUCUUCUUCCUGCAUAUCUGCUGCUGAACUGGACAACCCCUUCACUGGAAUCCGCCAGGAAUAAAUCACCCCAAACAAGCAUUUGUGAAUGAAGUACCAGUUACAAAAUUGGUGGGGCCCUGGCCCGGUGGCUCAGUUGGUUGGAGCAUCAUCCCCAUGCACCAAAAGUUUGCAGGUUUGAUCUCUGGU
Phyllostomus discolor (pale spear-nosed bat) is the source of this 496-nucleotide long non-coding RNA. RefSeq lists it as uncharacterized. The record is from RefSeq and is a predicted model, not a curated record. Lineage: Eukaryota; Metazoa; Chordata; Mammalia; Chiroptera; Phyllostomidae. The transcript has 4 exons.